Mus musculus (house mouse) is the source of this 576-nucleotide long non-coding RNA. RefSeq annotates it as predicted gene, 36088. The transcript is spliced from 3 exons. The record is from RefSeq and is a predicted model, not a curated record. NCBI's taxonomy places the organism in Eukaryota, Metazoa, Chordata, Mammalia, Rodentia, Muridae.
GAGCAGAGCAGAACGGAGCAGAGCAGAUUAGAUUCCUGUGUUCACUUUGUUCUCCUGCCUCAAUCUCUUCUGCGGUCACUGCCAAGUCUCAGUUAUUUUGGUCCAGGCUUCCCAUGUAGGCACCACGCCAUGCUCCCUGCGGUUCCACAGAAAACUAUGGAGACAGUGAUCAGUGGAACCUGUCAGGUUUAUUCAAGGGCAGCUCAGAAGGAAGACUCCAGUCAUGGAUUGCUACCUUUGGAAGGCUCAGCAGCCCCGAAGCAGUAAACGCGGGUGACAUUUUUGCCAUCUCGACAGUCGCAGCUGCCUGCUGAUGCCACUGAAAGAGAGGUGGCUGAAGAAAAUCGCUUUUUCCCAGGAUGCCGGUAAUCUCAAAAGCAGAAGUCUAUAAACAGGAAACCACCGACAGACAGUGAGUGAGCGUCUUCCGUGAAUGAGGAACAAGUCCCACGUGGAGUAGAUCAAGUGUGGAGUUAGAUCCAGGUGAAAACCCCAGCACUUACAGCUCUGAUCCUGAGCUGUCACAAUGAUAUGCUGUAAGUUUAUAUGUCACACACGAUAAUAAAUAGAUUAUGG